Molecule: ribosomal RNA, 522 nt
Filed under: uncultured bacterium
Lineage: Bacteria
Description: bacterial SSU rRNA
Rfam family: Bacterial small subunit ribosomal RNA
Source: RNAcentral
GGAUAAGAGGAAACCUAGUGAAUCUUAUCCCAGUGGCGGACGGGUGAGUAACGCGUGGGCAACCUGCCGCAUACCGGGGGAUAACACUUAGAAAUAGGUGCUAAUACCGCAUAAGCGCACAGAGCCGCAUGGCUCAGUGUGAAAAACUCCGGUGGUAUGCGAUGGGCCCGCGUCUGAUUAGCUUGUUGGCGGGGCAGCGGCCCACCAAGGCGACGAUCAGUAGCCGGCCUGAGAGGGUGGACGGCCACAUUGGGACUGAGACACGGCCCAGACUCCUACGGGAGGCAGCAGUGGGGAAUAUUGUACAAUGGGGGGAACCCUGAUGCAGCGACGCCGCGUGAGUGAAGAAGUAUUUCGGUAUGUAAAGCUCUAUCAGCAGGGAAGAAAAUGACGGUACCUGACUAAGAAGCCCCGGCUAACUACGUGCCAGCAGCCGCGGUAAUACGUAGGGGGCAAGCGUUAUCCGGAUUUACUGGGUGUAAAGGGAGCGCAGACGGCUGUGCAAGUCUGGAGUGAAAGGCG